This is a long non-coding RNA of Haliotis rubra (blacklip abalone), 425 nucleotides long. RefSeq lists it as uncharacterized. The transcript is spliced from 5 exons. Lineage: Eukaryota; Metazoa; Mollusca; Gastropoda; Lepetellida; Haliotidae. The record is from RefSeq and is a predicted model, not a curated record.
GAGAUGCAAGGUGAGUUCCAUAAGGGCAGAAGGGGCAUGGUGAGGUCCAUCAGGGCAGAAGGAGCAGGAUGAGGUCCAUCAGGGCAGAAGGGGCAUGGUGAGCUCCAUCAGGGCAGAAGGAGCAAGGUGAGUUCCAUCAGGGCAGAAGGGGCAAGGUGAGUUCCAUCAGGGCAGAAGGGGCAUGGUGAGUUCCAUCAGGGCAGAAGGAGCAGGGUGAGGUCCAUCAGGGCAGAAGGGGCAGGGUGAGUUCCAUCAGGGCAGUAGGAGCAGGAUUAGGUCCAUCAAGGCAGAAGGGGCAUGGUGAGGUCCAUCAGGGCAGAAAGGGCAGGGUGAGUUCCAUCAGGGCAGUAGGAGCAGGAUGAGGUCCAUCAGGGCAGAAGGGGCAGGGUGAGGUCCAUCAGGGCAGAAGGGGCAUGGUGAGGUCC